GGGCGGACAGUCCGCGCGGACGUCUCUAGUUUAUUAUAUGAAUUGUAUGUAUUGUAUUUAUCGUAUGUUUAUUGUAUGUACUCAUAUCCGUGACCAGAUUUCAUUUACAAAAGCAGGAUUUUUUUUAAAAAAAAAACCUUCAUCAACAAAUUUUUAACAGAAUUUUUGGUGAGACUAAUUUAUUUUACUCUUGUAGUGCCU
Molecule: non-coding RNA, 201 nt
Organism: Cinara cedri
Lineage: Eukaryota; Metazoa; Arthropoda; Insecta; Hemiptera; Aphididae
Source: the annotation of a GenBank genome assembly